RNAcentral lists this ribosomal RNA (1351 nucleotides) under Vibrio sp. RNAcentral describes it as "bacterial SSU rRNA". It matches the Rfam family "Bacterial small subunit ribosomal RNA", at positions 86 to 1433 of the family's 1533-position model. The record is from RNAcentral. Lineage: Bacteria; Pseudomonadati; Pseudomonadota; Gammaproteobacteria; Vibrionales; Vibrionaceae.
CGGCGUCGAGCGGCGGACGGGUGAGUAAUGCCUAGGAAAUUGCCCUGAUGUGGGGGAUAACCAUUGGAAACGAUGGCUAAUACCGCAUGAUGCCUACGGGCCAAAGAGGGGGACCUUCGGGCCUCUCGCGUCAGGAUAUGCCUAGGUGGGAUUAGCUAGUUGGUGAGGUAAGGGCUCACCAAGGCGACGAUCCCUAGCUGGUCUGAGAGGAUGAUCAGCCACACUGGAACUGAGACACGGUCCAGACUCCUACGGGAGGCAGCAGUGGGGAAUAUUGCACAAUGGGCGCAAGCCUGAUGCAGCCAUGCCGCGUGUGUGAAGAAGGCCUUCGGGUUGUAAAGCACUUUCAGUCGUGAGGAAGGUGGUGUAGUUAAUAGCUGCAUUAUUUGACGUUAGCGACAGAAGAAGCACCGGCUAACUCCGUGCCAGCAGCCGCGGUAAUACGGAGGGUGCGAGCGUUAAUCGGAAUUACUGGGCGUAAAGCGCAUGCAGGUGGUUUGUUAAGUCAGAUGUGAAAGCCCGGGGCUCAACCUCGGAAUAGCAUUUGAAACUGGCAGACUAGAGUACUGUAGAGGGGGGUAGAAUUUCAGGUGUAGCGGUGAAAUGCGUAGAGAUCUGAAGGAAUACCGGUGGCGAAGGCGGCCCCCUGGACAGAUACUGACACUCAGAUGCGAAAGCGUGGGGAGCAAACAGGAUUAGAUACCCUGGUAGUCCACGCCGUAAACGAUGUCUACUUGGAGGUUGUGGCCUUGAGCCGUGGCUUUCGGAGCUAACGCGUUAAGUAGACCGCCUGGGGAGUACGGUCGCAAGAUUAAAACUCAAAUGAAUUGACGGGGGCCCGCACAAGCGGUGGAGCAUGUGGUUUAAUUCGAUGCAACGCGAAGAACCUUACCUACUCUUGACAUCCAGAGAACUUUCCAGAGAUGGAUUGGUGCCUUCGGGAACUCUGAGACAGGUGCUGCAUGGCUGUCGUCAGCUCGUGUUGUGAAAUGUUGGGUUAAGUCCCGCAACGAGCGCAACCCUUAUCCUUGUUUGCCAGCGAGUAAUGUCGGGAACUCCAGGGAGACUGCCGGUGAUAAACCGGAGGAAGGUGGGGACGACGUCAAGUCAUCAUGGCCCUUACGAGUAGGGCUACACACGUGCUACAAUGGCGCAUACAGAGGGCGGCCAACUUGCGAAAGUGAGCGAAUCCCAAAAAGUGCGUCGUAGUCCGGAUUGGAGUCUGCAACUCGACUCCAUGAAGUCGGAAUCGCUAGUAAUCGUGGAUCAGAAUGCCACGGUGAAUACGUUCCCGGGCCUUGUACACACCGCCCGUCACACCAUGGGAGUGGGCUGCAAAAGAAGUAGGUAG